UACGAAGGGGGCGAGCGUUGUUCGGAUUUACUGGGCGUAAAGGGCGCGCAGGCGGCUUUUCAAGUCAGGCGUGAAAGCCCCGGGCUUAACCUGGGAACUGCAUUCGAGACUGCAUUGCUAGAGUAUGGGAGAGGGAAGUGGAAUUUCCGGUGUAGCGGUGAAAUGCGUAGAUAUCGGAAGGAACACCAGUGGCGAAGGCGGCUCACUGGCCCGAUACUGACGCUGAGACGCGAAAGCGUGGGGAGCGAACAGG
RNAcentral lists this ribosomal RNA (253 nucleotides) under uncultured bacterium. Its description in RNAcentral is "partial 16S ribosomal RNA". It matches the Rfam family "Bacterial small subunit ribosomal RNA", at positions 524 to 776 of the family's 1533-position model. The record is from RNAcentral.